RNAcentral lists this unclassified non-coding RNA (2403 nucleotides) under Leishmania donovani. RNAcentral describes it as "gene:LdHU3.06.1490(CDS-product:coproporphyrinogen _III_oxidase)". The record is from RNAcentral. Lineage: Eukaryota; Euglenozoa; Kinetoplastea; Trypanosomatida; Trypanosomatidae.
CACUCGCUCUCUCAUGAGCUUUUUUUUCUUCCUUGUUGCAUCGUUGGCUCAGGAUAAGUCGAAAAGAGACAGUAGCGCGGGUCUCCAUCACCGUAGUGUUACCUUAUCACCCCCACGCGUGGCCCAGACAAAUAUUUUCUCUAAAAAUGUCGCUUGCAAUCGAAGCUGUAAAGGACUUUCUUGUGAAGCUUCAGGAUGACAUAUGUGAAGCUCUCGAGGCGGAGGACGGACAGGCAACGUUCAUGGAAGAUAAGUGGACACGCGAGGGCGGCGGUGGCGGCCGCACGCGCGUCAUGGUGAAUGGCGCCGUGAUCGAAAAGGGCGGCGUGAACUUUUCACACGUGUAUGGGAAGGGACUGCCAGGGUCCUCGACAGAGCGGCACCCUGACAUGACUGGUUGCAACUUCCAGGCGAUGGGAGUCUCGCUUGUUAUCCAUCCAAAGAACCCCCAUGUCCCCACAUCGCACGCGAAUGUGCGUCUCUUUGUUGCCGAGAGGGAGGGCAAGGAGCCGGUGUGGUGGUUCGGUGGCGGCUUCGAUCUCACGCCGUACUAUGCUGUGGAGGAAGACUGCCGCUACUUCCACCAAGUCGCACAGGACCUCUGCAAGCCCUUCGGCGCUGACGUGUACACGCGCUUCAAGGUGUGGUGUGACGAGUACUUCUUCAUACCUUACCGAAACGAGGCCCGUGGGAUUGGCGGCCUCUUCUUCGACGACCUUAACGAGUGGCCGUUUGAGAAAUGCUUCGAAUUUGUGCAGGCGGUGGGCAAGGGCUACAUUGAUGCGUACAUCCCAAUUGUGAACCGGCGCAAGAACACACCAUACACAGAACAGCAGGUGGAGUUCCAAGAGUUCCGCCGCGGACGGUACGCGGAGUUCAACCUGGUGAUUGACCGCGGCACGAAGUUCGGCCUCCAGUCUGGCGGUCGAACCGAGUCCAUCUUGAUUUCACUGCCGCCGCGUGCGCGCUGGGGCUACGAUUGGCAGCCAGAACCUGGCACGCCGGAGGCACGGUUGACGGAGUACUUUUUGAUGAAGAGACAGUGGGUGUAGGCCACUCUCUCUACCGUGGUGCCAUGCACAUCCCACACUUAUAUUUCGCUAUGUGACUGUCGUGAUUUGCUGUGUGUGCGGGAAGCGAGGGUGCAUGCGCAGCCGUGUGUUUUUUCGGUACCUUGCUAGCUGGAGCCUGCACGUAUUCCGUCUUUGCCGUCCGCAGCUUCGAUCAACUUUGAGUUGAAUACUCCGUUGGUCGUCGGCAGCACGGUAGCGCAGCAGCAGCGACCAUUCUACGUGGCUUGUGCUGGACCAUCACGUGCUUUGAGUCACGAACCGGACAUUAUUCGUUUGUCAAGUUUUUUUCUUCCUUGAUUCCACUGUCUUGCAGUAACAGGCGGGCCGCUCACAUCGCGUCACACAGUCGGAGGGCGUAGCAAGCGCGGGCUUGCAGCGACGUAAUCAAGGAAGUGCUGCGUGGUGCGCUGGGGUGCCAUCGAAAGCAAAAUCAAGGGUGCCCCAUCGCUCUUCCAUUUCUUUCACACCAUCACGGCCCUCUUACGCUUUUACACCUGUUGUGUGGACUGAAAACGCAACGCAGCAUUGUGCUCUCCGUGGUUGUGGCCUAGCUCUGGUGGUCAGUGCAGCUUGUUGUUGCUUCUCUGCGCGCAUGUAUAGUGUGCGGUACCUGUGAUGAUUGAGACUCUGCGGUGGUGCCCGCGACGCUGGCGUGCCCCCUGCAGCGCGUUAUCGAAACACAGACUUUCUGCUAACGUCAUUGAUCUUUUUCCUCUCCCCUACCCACGCCUGAAGGCACUAAUAUGAGGUUUCGGAAAUGGCUCGCCAAUGGCGAGUUUUAGUGCUUCGCGACUUGCGUUUCAGAUGCUCUCCAGUGGUGUGGGAAUGGUGCAGUAUUCCACGGUGGCUAGGCAGCCGCGCAGUCUCACAACCACAUGCGAACCCGCGCUUUAUUAUUCUAUUGUGGUGGCUGGCAUACCGGUUGUCUGUUUAACGAAGUCUUGUGCGUUCCUAGUGAUUGCGGCCACCACUAAUCAACUCUAUAUCUCUUCUGGAACCCGAUCACUUUCCUACCAACCGAAGGAGUGCUGGUCGCGCCACUUCAUGGGGAGCAGUUUGGUAGUAUCAACUUUCUCUGGUGUGCUGGGGUGCUAAAAGAAGACUCCGAGCCAACCGCCGCUGAGAUUGAAGAGGAGGGCAUCGCGACGCCCUCAGAAGGCCGUCCAAGCGGAGGGGCAUCGGUGGCUUGAAAGUGGCCGCGAUUGUUCCUGUGCUGCGCGUUCAUGAAGCACACGUUUUCUCCCUACUCCCUGCAGGAAAACUCUGCCAAGGGUUCCAGUGGCGGUGUGCUGAAGACGUACGUGAAGGACGCAACGCAUACCGCAAAAAA